Molecule: non-coding RNA, 1382 nt
Organism: Heterocephalus glaber (naked mole-rat)
Lineage: Eukaryota; Metazoa; Chordata; Mammalia; Rodentia; Bathyergidae
Source: RefSeq, a predicted model, not a curated record
UAAAAACUAUUGUUCUCUUCUCUCAAUGUAAUGAAUAUAGUAUCUUUUCUCCUUUCAAGGACAAACACUCCUACUUGAGUCCUGGAUCCCACUUUCUGUUGUCUUCUCUGAAUCCUUGAUUUUUCACCUAAAUUUUUCAUGUAAUUUCUCCAGCCAGAAAUCUUCCUGUAAAUCUUCCUUGACUCUUCCCUUUCUUCUGUGCCCUCCUCCACUGUAAUUUAAUAAGCAAGUGUUACUGGUUCUGUGGAGGUCAAGUCAGUUCAUGUUAAGCUAUCUCUACUUUUCACCCUUACCUUGAGGAGCCACCACGUCUUGCCUGUCCUACAUGCAGUAGCUUUCUAACUGGUCUUCCUGCCACUAUUCUUCCCUUUCCCUGUACCCUGAUGAUUAUAUACCACUUAGACGAAGCUUUGUUAUAGCUCACCUCAACCUUGGAAUAAUGCCCUGUGAUCUUUCUGAGACAAGGGAAUAGUUUGCCAUUACCUUCCAGGUUAUGUUCAAGUAUGACUUUUCAUCUCAAGUUCUUUCAGGCUACAGCUACAGACAUAUGGAAGGAAAGAUGGCACCUUUGUCUGUCCAGCUUUCGCAGACAGGGCCACUCAGAAAAUACAAACUUCACCUCUUCAUUGGUGAAGUGCAGCCUCUGACAAUGGAAUCAGCUCACCUUUGCCUUGCCACUAGUGGAGGACCAAGCAGAGGCAGCUGCUUUUCCUCUAGAUCUACACCACAUAUUCAGUCUCACGUCUCUCACUUUUAAGGAGACACAUCUUUGAGUGGUCACAGGAAGUUGGUGGAAAUGUUCAGAAAGUGGCUCCUUUUCCCUUCCUCAAGGGUCAAAAGAAUGGACCACAGCACGCCAUUCACCUCUUUAUAACUCUUUAUAACUCACUCUUUCUAACCCUGUCAACUGUCUGAUCUGUCCUUCAGCAAUCUUCAAGCUCUCUGUCAUACUUUGAAAAUGGGGCAUCAGCUAAGGUUGGAGAAACCAGUUUCACAAAAUCUUACCACCCCUACAUAACUUGCUGUAGGCUUGAUAGUCCUUGGGUUUUGACUUUUUUUUUUUGGUACCGAGGAUCAAACUUGGAACCUUGCACUUGCGAGGCAGGCACUGGAAAGUCCCUGGGUUUUGGGCACUUGUGUUAUCAUUCUUGGCCCUUUGUCUUUACAAAUGCUCCUGAAGUAGUAAUGGCAAAACUUUUAGAGAUCCAGUGCCAAAUUGCAACCCAAAACCCACUUAGUUACUGCAAAGUUCCAACAUUACAAUUAAACCUGAAUACUGAAGUUUUAGUUUAGAAAAAAAACCCCACAACUCUAAAUUAACAUCUUUUGUCUUAAAAGAAAAACACAGUAACAUUUGAGCCAUAGGUUCCCUACCACUAAAG